This 254-nucleotide ribosomal RNA is filed under the name uncultured bacterium. RNAcentral's name for it is "partial 16S ribosomal RNA". It matches the Rfam family "Bacterial small subunit ribosomal RNA", at positions 524 to 776 of the family's 1533-position model. The record is from RNAcentral.
UACGUAGGGUGCGAGCGUUGUCCGGAAUUAUUGGGCGUAAAGAGCUCGUAGGCGGUGUGUCGCGUCGGCCGUGAAAACCUGGGGCUCAACUCUGGGCGUGCGGUCGAUACGGGCAUCACUUGAGUUCGGCAGGGAAGACUGGAAUUCCUGGUGUAGCGGUGAAAUGCGCAGAUAUCAGGAGGAACACCGGUGGCGAAGGCGGGUCUCUGGGCCGAUACUGACGCUGAGGAGCGAAAGCAUGGGUAGCGAACAGG